UACGGAGGGUGCGAGCGUUAAUCGGAAUUACUGGGCGUAAAGCGCACGUAGGUGGUUGGGUAAGUCGGAUGUGAAAGCCCUGGGCUUAACCUGGGAACUGCAUUCGAUACUGCCCGACUAGAGUAUGGGAGAGGGAAGCGGAAUUUCCGGUGUAGCGGUGAAAUGCGUAGAUAUCGGAAGGAACACCAAUGGCGAAGGCAGCUUCCUGGCCCAAUACUGACACUCAGGUGCGAAAGCGUGGGGAUCAAACAGG
This 253-nucleotide ribosomal RNA is filed under the name uncultured bacterium. Its description in RNAcentral is "partial 16S ribosomal RNA". It matches the Rfam family "Bacterial small subunit ribosomal RNA", at positions 524 to 776 of the family's 1533-position model. The record is from RNAcentral.